GCAGCCGCCGCGGUAAUACAGAGGGUGCGAGCGUUAAUCGGAUUUACUGGGCGUAAAGCGUGCGUAGGCGGCUUUUUAAGUCGGAUGUGAAAUCCCUGAGCUUAACUUAGGAAUUGCAUUCGAUACUGGGAAGCUAGAGUAUGGGAGAGGAUGGUAGAAUUCCAGGUGUAGCGGUGAAAUGCGUAGAGAUCUGGAGGAAUACCGAUGGCGAAGGCAGCCAUCUGGCCUAAUACUGACGCUGAGGUACGAAAGCAUGGGGAGCAAACAGGAUUAGAUACCCCGGUAGUCCCUGUCUCUUAUAA
RNAcentral lists this ribosomal RNA (302 nucleotides) under uncultured bacterium. Its description in RNAcentral is "partial 16S ribosomal RNA". It matches the Rfam family "Bacterial small subunit ribosomal RNA", at positions 508 to 809 of the family's 1533-position model. The record is from RNAcentral.